GCCAGGUGUGGUGGUGCACCUCUGUAAUCCCAGGAACUCAGGAGGCUGAGGUAGGAGGAUCACAAAUUCAAGACCAGCCUCAGCAACUUAACAAGACCUUCAGAAAUUCAGUGAGACCCUGUUUCAA
Molecule: small RNA, 127 nt
Filed under: Marmota monax (woodchuck)
Lineage: Eukaryota; Metazoa; Chordata; Mammalia; Rodentia; Sciuridae
Source: RNAcentral